This 409-nucleotide long non-coding RNA is filed under the name Citrus x clementina. RNAcentral's name for it is "Citrus clementina (C. clementina) long non-coding RNA (CCLE_LNC003906)". The record is from RNAcentral. Lineage: Eukaryota; Viridiplantae; Streptophyta; Magnoliopsida; Sapindales; Rutaceae.
UUAGUUUUGUAAUUAAAAACUAUAAUUCUUUAAAUAAGGAUAAAAUUGUAAUUUGAAACUAUUUACUCCCAAUCCAAGAUAAAGUAAACACAUAAAUUGGAUUAUGAUCUCUAUUCCAUGCUUCCAUUCCAGUGUAAGUAAACAACCUACUCUCACUCACACUCCACACUCCCAAUCCUAGGAUUCCCACUCCUCAGGAUUCUCAAUCCAAUCCAAAAAGUAAAUGCAGCAUGAAUAUUGUAUUUGAUGUUGACAAUGAAGCCAACUUUUGCUACUAAUUAUGAAAACUAUGAGAGGUAAGGAUGGAGGUGGACUCAAGAUUUUUUAUUACCUCCAGCUAAUUUAUAAAUUUAUGGUAAAUGUUUAUGUAAACGUCGAUCCAUGUAUGUAUGUACGAUAAUAAUAUAAU